Molecule: long non-coding RNA, 255 nt
Filed under: Marmota monax (woodchuck)
Lineage: Eukaryota; Metazoa; Chordata; Mammalia; Rodentia; Sciuridae
Source: RNAcentral
UAAGAAGAAAUUUGCCUGCAAUGAUACUGAAAUUGAGCAUACAGAAUAUGGAGAAGUAAUUCAGCUACAGGGUGACCAGUGCAAGAACAUAUGCCAGUUCCUGGUAGAGAUUGGACUGGCUAAGGAGGAUCAGUUGAAGGUUCAUGGGUUUUAAGUGCUUGUGGCUCACUGAAGCUUAAGUGAGGAUUUCCUUGCAAUGAGUAGAAUUUCCCUUCUGUCCCUUGUCACAAGUUUAAAAACCUCACAGUUUGUAUA